CGUCGGCGGCGCGGGUAGGGUAGAAUUAGGGUUUGUUUGGCGAUAAGCCACUGGCGUAUGAUACCAUGUAGAGAGAUUUAGGAGAAGUGUUUUCUUGUAUUACUCACAAAAGUAUAUAUAGAGUACAAAGGGGUAUCAAAUCCUACCAACUAUAAGACUGUACAAUAAUGAAAGAAUAUUUUAUCAAUAAUAAAAAUAUACACAAUAUAUUCUAAUAGAAUAUCUUGAUAAAUGAAUGCACUAAGAAUUAAUUCAGUGAAUGCUUUUCUAAGAAGGAAUUGGCAAAAUAUUUAAAGGCCUAAAGAGAAGGC
This 311-nucleotide long non-coding RNA is filed under the name Nicotiana benthamiana. RNAcentral describes it as "long non-coding RNA (NBEN_LNC031475)". Lineage: Eukaryota; Viridiplantae; Streptophyta; Magnoliopsida; Solanales; Solanaceae. The record is from RNAcentral.